UACGUAGGGUGCAAGCGUUGUCCGGAAUUAUUGGGCGUAAAGAGCUCGUAGGCGGUUUGUCGCGUCGGCUGUGAAAGCCCGGAAGCCUCAACUCCGGGUCUGCGAGUCGAUACGGGCAGACUUGAGUGGUUGCAGGGGAGACUGGAAUUCCUGGUGGUAGCGGUGAAAUGCGGCAGAUAUCAAGGAGGAACACCGGUGGCGAAGGGCGGGGUCUCCUGGGGCAAACAACGUGACGCUGGAGGAGCGAAAGCGUGGGGAGCGA
RNAcentral lists this ribosomal RNA (262 nucleotides) under uncultured bacterium. Its description in RNAcentral is "partial 16S ribosomal RNA". It matches the Rfam family "Bacterial small subunit ribosomal RNA", at positions 524 to 771 of the family's 1533-position model. The record is from RNAcentral.